CUGGAUCACUGCUACACCACGUACAGAAUGUACAUUCAGCAUCUCCACACUCUGCAUGGAGAUACUGAAUGUUCCCCAAAGAGAUGCAUUGAUUUAAUGCAUCUCUAUGAGGAGAUACUAAUUGGCGCAGCAUUUUGCUAUGAAGUUUGAUGAACUCAGCCAAGGGGGUGGAGCAUAGGCAGGCCAGCUGUGACCAGACCCAGGAGGCUUUGAAAAAGGUGAGUAAAUCACAUUUUUAAC
Molecule: non-coding RNA, 240 nt
Organism: Pelobates cultripes (western spadefoot toad)
Lineage: Eukaryota; Metazoa; Chordata; Amphibia; Anura; Pelobatidae
Source: the annotation of a GenBank genome assembly